CUCUUCCCACUGCGCAGGAAGCGAGACGCGCAAAAGAAUCAGAAGUUAAACGCAAAGGUAACGCGGCACUCUCAACAGCAGCAGCCGUUUUUACUGUAACCGCUCGGAGUUUCCCCGCGAAUGCAAGAGGAACCCGGCGUCUAGAGCAGAAUGAAUGGUUAUCAAGGCGCCAGAAACAGAGCGAGGGAAGCUGUUAAUGCUGGGAGUCUUUUAAACCCUGGUUCUUCUGGUGACUUGACAGAGCUCAACCAUGGAAGUCAGACUGCUACAGGCCGAAGACGACUAAUAAAGGUCCAGACAUGAAGGAGACAGCGUCUUGUCUGUGGCAUCUCACAAUGAGAAGAGCUUUCAGCGUGUCGUGAGUUUCCAAGGUUGGUUCAGCAGAUACAUUGGAUGAGGUCAGAGGCUAAAUCCCUCCUGUGCGGCUGACCCUCUCCUGUACAACAGCAAAAGGCCACGUGUGCCAUCUAAGACUUGCUUGUGGAUACUGAAUAUAAUCUUUUUUUUAUUAGCAAGACUUUGUUUGAUUUAGAGUGUUUUGUUUAUGGGAUAUAAGCCAUCAAAAUCAAUGAACACUUUUACUUUUAUUUGUAUGUUAAUUGUAUUUUUAACUAUUUUUAUGAGUUUAACAACUUCUGUAUUGUAUUUUUAACUAAAAAAAAAGAAUGUUCAUCUGAAAGUAAUGCAGAACGUGUUAGGCUAUGAUAUUAUUGGUUAAAUUUUUGCCCCACCCACAUGGCCUUGGUGACUUCAGCAACAAAAAAAAAAGCUUUUUGAAAUAAAAUCUCAAUAAAAAAAAUAAAAAAAAAUGGAUUGGUGCGCACUGAUGAUAAAAUGCACAAUAAGACAAGGGGCAAUCAUUGAAAAGGUAAAUUUUGUUUUUAUGUUGUGUUUAAAGGAAUUCCAAACCAUCAAAAGGUCAUAUAAGUUUGAGAGCAGAAUUCAAUAUGUUGUAUUUUUGGAGUAGGUGACCUGUGCUAUGUCCUUUCAGCAUUGAGAGGUGGGAUGCACCCGCCCGCUGCUUGCCUUGUCUCCACAGCGACCUCUGCGCAGACUGUCAAGUCGACUCACCAUCAGGCCAUGUUUGCCUCAGUGAACAUUCAACGCUGUCGGUGAGUUUGAGCUAAAUAGAAAAAAACCAUCGACCGUUGAUUGUACCCUGCGGCCGAGCCCUACCGAGCCUUGCCUCUCCCCACCACCGACAAAAGAGGAAUUUUAGCAUGGACUCCUGGAGACACGACGGCUCUGUCUUCCAACGCUGCCGGCAGCCUCGGACGACGCCUGAAAAGUUUGACUUUGAAAACUACAACAAAGGUCACAAUCAACAUUCAUUGCUGUCGGUGGGUUGGACUGUAAAAGAAAGCUCACUGAACAAUGAAUGCAACUGUGUCCCAGAUUUCCUUCUCGCAAAGUGGCAUCAGAGAUAAAUAUUAACUGACAGAGCUGGAUAUACUCAUUUGCUCGCUUCUCUGAGUUUGUUUGUGGCUCUUCGUGGCAAAGAUGCAAGUGGACUGAGAACACCAUGUCAAAGGCCCCUUUAAGGCUGAUGAAUGUUUCCUUUGUAUAAUAAAUAAAGACAAGACCUCUCCAAAACCA
This is a long non-coding RNA of Ctenopharyngodon idella (grass carp), 1596 nucleotides long. RefSeq lists it as uncharacterized. The record is from RefSeq and is a predicted model, not a curated record. NCBI's taxonomy places the organism in Eukaryota, Metazoa, Chordata, Actinopteri, Cypriniformes, Xenocyprididae. The transcript has 5 exons.